CUUCUGGGUGCAUUUGGACCAAAAAAGAAGAAAAGGCCAGUUUUUAAGCAGGCAGCUAUGAGGAAAGCAAAGUGUUAUUCCUUUCAAUAUUUAAAGAGGGGUUGCUCUACUCCCUCAGGAUCAUUCUAGGUGCUGAGUGUCUUCAACAACAACAACACUGUCCUCUCUAUGCAAUGUUGGUUUUUUUCUAUUUUAUGUUCCCAACCCUUAGGAUUCUUAUAGUCUGAAUUUCUCCACCACAAGGGCUCCCAUCUCCAGAGAGCAUUGAAGUAAUUGGCAAGAAUGUUGCCACUUUAUACACACACACACACACACACACACACACACUGCAUCAGGUGUUUGGGUGCUGUUAAAUUUGCUUCUAGGAUUUGCCAACUAGGAUGAGCCAGCUAUGAUAGCUGUGCUUUUCAUUAGCAGACCAAUGGCAGCCACAAUUGGGAGAUGACUCUGUGUGUGUCCCCAUGCUGUAAAAAGGCACAAGAAUAGGCCAGGCUGCUUUUCCUGGUCAGUUGGCAACCCUAGCUGUAACAUCAGUCCUGGGAAUUGCCUGCGGACUUCUCUCUUGUGGCUUCUCUCCCUCACCUUUUGACUUGCUGUCACAGAAACAUACCAGUGAAGACAAAACGGACAUUUUCUCUCUCUCCUAACUUGGUUUUGUUUAAAACCACAAUGGCUGUACUGUAUAUCAUGCCACUUUAUACAUAUAUAAAGAUACACAUGUAUAUGUGUGUGAUUUUUUUAAAGCCUUUGAACAUGACUAGUUGCUUUCAAGUGUUCUGCACUUACCCCAAAUGUUUUGAAAUUUUGUGGGGGUAUAAACUGAGGAGUGAGCCUGUUUUUGUAUCCUUCCCUUUCCUCUCAUUAGUUUUAUUAAAUUGUACUGUAGCCAUUUUUUAAUUUUUUUACUGGUUUGGGUUUUCUCCCCCCCCCCCUUGUUCAGCAAAUGCUAAACAAAAAGUUCUAAAUGUAAUUUCUGUGGUUUCUAUUCAGCUUCAGUUUAAUGUUUUAAAAUAAACUUUGAAAACGCAUA
Molecule: long non-coding RNA, 1030 nt
Organism: Lacerta agilis (Sand lizard)
Lineage: Eukaryota; Metazoa; Chordata; Lepidosauria; Squamata; Lacertidae
Exons: 2
Source: RefSeq, a predicted model, not a curated record